This 492-nucleotide ribosomal RNA is filed under the name uncultured bacterium. RNAcentral's name for it is "partial 16S ribosomal RNA". It matches the Rfam family "Bacterial small subunit ribosomal RNA", at positions 29 to 507 of the family's 1533-position model. The record is from RNAcentral.
AGUGAACGCUGGCGGUAGGCCUAACACAUGCAAGUCGAACGGCAGCACAGUAAGAGCUUGCUCUUACGGGUGGCGAGUGGCGGACGGGUGAGGAAUACAUCGGAAUCUGCUUUUUCUUGGGGGCUAACGUAGGGAAACUUACGCUAAUACCGCAUACGACCCACGGGUGAAAGCAGCGGAUCUUCGGACCUUGCGCGAUUCAAUGAGCCGAUGUCGGAUUAGCUAGUUGGCGGGGUAAAGGCCCACCAAGGCGACGAUCCGUAGCUGGUCUGAGAGGAUGAUCAGUCACACUGGAACUGAGACACGGUCCAGACUCCUACGGGAGGCAGCAGUGGGGAAUAUUGGACAAUGGGCGCAAGCCUGAUCCAGCCAUACCGCGUGGGUGAAGAAGGCCUUCGGGUUGUAAAGCCCUUUUGUUGGGAAAGAAAAGCAGCAGGUUAAUACCCCGCUGUUCUGACGGUACCCAAAGAAUAAGCACCGGCUAACUUCGUG